Molecule: ribosomal RNA, 493 nt
Filed under: Trimerodytes percarinatus (Olive annulate keelback)
Lineage: Eukaryota; Metazoa; Chordata; Lepidosauria; Squamata; Natricidae
Description: partial 12S ribosomal RNA
Rfam family: Microsporidia small subunit ribosomal RNA
Source: RNAcentral
GCCUAACCUAACACACAAUAAUAUACCGAUUGUUCGCCAAACAACUACGAGUAAAAACUUAAAACUUAAAAGACUUGACGGUACUUCACACCACCCUAGAGGAGCCUGUCUAAUAACCGAUACCCCACGAUUAACCCAACCCCCUCUGGCCAACCAGUCUAUAUACCGCCAUCGCCAGCUUACCUUGUAAAAGAAACAAAGUAAACGCAACAGCUCACCGCUAACACGAUAGGUCGAGGUGUAACAAAUGAGGGGGGAAAAGAUGGGCUACAUUUUCUAACACAGAAAACACGAACAGACUAUGAAAAUAGAAACAGAAGGCGGAUUUAGCAGUACGUUAAGGACAAAAUGCUUAACCGAAAUAAACGCAAUGAAGUGCGUACACACCGCCCGUCAUCCCUGCAAAUAACAAACAACCAUUUAUAAAAACAUAAAACACUUUAAACAGGGCAAGUCGUAACAUGGUAAGCGUACUGGAAAGUGCGCUUAGAAA